UAACCUGGGAUGGCAUGUUUUUGGUGAAUGAGUAGGCACCCAAAGAUGAUGAAAGAUUUAAUAAACGAUGGAAUCUUCGAGAGCUGAAAGUAAGCAUAAAUCUAGAGAUUCCCUAGCACGGCAACCUGUCGAUCUGCAACUGAAUCCUUGGACAUGCAAGAUACAAACUAACGAACUAAAACUUCUUAAUAACCACAAGAAAAGAAAUCAAAAGGGAUUCAUAUAAUAGUGGGGAGCGAAAUAGGAGCAACCUAAACCGUGAUAAUGAAGUUGUGAGAAGCAACACAAGCAUCAUGUUGCCAGGUGAAGCACCAUGACUAUUUGCACUCUAGAUAACGAAAUUCUAGUAGCAGAAAGCAUUACU
This 364-nucleotide ribosomal RNA is filed under the name Olea europaea subsp. europaea. RNAcentral describes it as "Bacterial large subunit ribosomal RNA". It matches the Rfam family "Bacterial large subunit ribosomal RNA", at positions 1 to 392 of the family's 2925-position model. Lineage: Eukaryota; Viridiplantae; Streptophyta; Magnoliopsida; Lamiales; Oleaceae. The record is from Rfam by way of RNAcentral.